This 360-nucleotide ribosomal RNA is filed under the name Riftia pachyptila (tube worm). RNAcentral describes it as "SSU rRNA". It matches the Rfam family "Eukaryotic small subunit ribosomal RNA", at positions 750 to 1109 of the family's 1831-position model. Lineage: Eukaryota; Metazoa; Annelida; Polychaeta; Sabellida; Siboglinidae. The record is from RNAcentral.
GUUUACUUUGAAAANAUUAGAGUGUUCAAAGCAGGCGCGCUCGCCUGAAUAAUGGUGCAUGGAAUAAUGGAAUAGGACCUCGGUNCUAGUUUGUUGGUUUUCGGAACUCGAGGUAAUGAUUAANAGGGACGGACGGGGGCAUUCGUAUUACGGCGUUAGAGGUGAAAUUCUUGGAUCGCCGUAAGACGAACUACAGCGAAAGCAUUUGCCAAGAACGUUUUCAUUAAUCAAGAACGAAAGUCAGAGGCUCGAAGACGAUCAGAUACCGUCGUAGUUCUGACCAUAAACGAUGUCGAUUAGCGAUCCGCCGGUGUUGUUNCCNUGACUCGGCGGGCAGCUUCCGGGAAACCAAAAUCUUUG